Helianthus annuus (common sunflower) is the source of this 3147-nucleotide long non-coding RNA. RefSeq lists it as uncharacterized. Lineage: Eukaryota; Viridiplantae; Streptophyta; Magnoliopsida; Asterales; Asteraceae. The transcript is spliced from 11 exons. The record is from RefSeq and is a predicted model, not a curated record.
AUCUGCUACUUCUAAUAAAACAAAAUAAUUUUUAGCCACUUGUCAUUAGUUUAACCCAUCACUUGCCACGUGUCAUUUGAUUACUCCCUUUUUUUCACAAUUGACCGCCAAAAUCCUUACUCCCUGAUGGAAAAGAAUGAGCGCUAAAACGAGAGAUGCUUAUGUCCUUUUCUUCACAUGUUUCUCAUUCAUUCAAGCGUUACUUUUCCUCUUUCCUUUCCAUCAAAUCGGGGUUUCCUUUUCUUCCCUCUUCAUCACCUUAAUAUCGUUAUAAUCAGAGUUUCUUUUCUUCCUCCUUCAUCAUCCUAUGUAAACCCUAAAGGAAUUCACAGCAGUUCUUCAAGGAUUAUUACCGAUUUAUUCUAAUGGAAUGAUGGAUCUUUCAAAUGCUGUUGUUCUACAAGCAACAGAGUCCCAAUGAUGGUGAAUGCAACGAUGCUGAAGAUAGUCUCAAUCAGGUAUAAAAUUAACCGAUUGUGUUUCAAUCUGGUUGAUUCGCGAUUGUUGUUGUUUUUUCCACAUGAUUCUCAUCUUUCUCUGAUCCAUUUACAAACCCUAGAUUUCAAUCGUGUUUGAGCAAAAGGUAUAUUCUCUUCUCGAUCUUUAAUGUAGUUAUCAUUCAUAUAUGUUCGUAUUUUAGUGUUUUAAACAAGUGUUAUUCAGUCCAAAAUCUGAAUCUUGAAUCGUGUUUGAGCACCAAUUUCAUUACAGCCGUUUAAUCAUUUUAGUCUACCAUUGGCUAUGCUUUAUUUGUGAUAAUUAAAGCUUAUAUGUGUGCUAAUCAAAUUUCUAUUAUGAACCACUAAUUGAGAUUAUUAAAAUUAGUUAGGAUGUGAAGGUUGUUAUACUGACUCAAUGAUGAUGGUGGUCAUGGUUGUGGGAAUCACUUAAUCCCUAUCAUUGAAUCUGGAUCACUUAAAGUUAUUAACGUGGAUCAGCUCUGAACUUCGUUGAUCUAGAAUUUAAGAAGAUGGCGAUCAAAAUAUGCGAUCUAGUCGUCUGUACCUAGCGAAGGUGUGUACGAUUAAGUGGGGCCUGGCGUCAUUGUGAGUUUAAAGUUCUUCAUUUUGGUUAAUUUAGUGAUCUUCGUCUGCCAUCUCAAGCAUUCCAUCAGUUUUCUCCUAUCCCUCAUCCUCUAUCCAGAGGAAAAAAAGACAGAUAAUGGUUGACGAUUCUUCGUUGAGGAAACCAAACGGCGAUGGAGAUGGAGACCACAGGCCAAACGCGACCGGAAGAGAAAAAACCAUACUGAUGAAGUUACUGGUAGACUUUCCACUUCAUUAAAGCAUCUCCCAAACGCUUUAAUGUUGUAUUCAACAUCGGAGGAAUAGGAGAUGAAAAUGCUUCUACAAGGGUGUUGCGUAUGUGCGAAACCUUCUUUGAAGACAACGAGAUCGUUGGACAACGAAAAGUUAGUUGUUGUACCAAACUCAUCGGACAAGUUCAAAGUUUUCGAGAGGUUAUGUCGGUUCUUUACAAAUCGACUUCAGGGAAUACCACCGCCUUUGACAAACUAUUAGACCACAGUUUGCAACAGGGAGGAAUUUGUAUGCAAAUAGAAAUCCAAAUUGAAAGCAUAGCGUUCUUGAUAGUCAAUGACCAAGUGGAAUCCUAGGAAACUAAUAACAGCUGAUCUAAGUUUUUGAGUUUGUAAGAUCUAAGUUUUCAGCCGCUUCAGCCAGAUCAAUGAAUGUGAAGGACUACAGGAAAAAUAAGUCUCUCAAAAUAUGCGAUUUUAACAUACAAUUGACUUUAACAUAACCUCAAUAAUAUCAAGUUUUUUGGUCUAUGAUGGUGAGCAUGGGCUUAUCUGAGAGGUUUCAUGAAGUUGUAUUCUGGUUCCGAUUAUUAUAAGCCCUAAUGUUGUAAGCUCAAUGAUGGCGAGCCAAGGAUCGGCUAAAGGCUUCUUGAAUGUGUAAGUUGGUGCUAUGUUGGUUGCUAAGGGAAAAUAUUUGUGGGAACAUAUAUUUUUAUAUUAUCAACCGGGAACUUCUUAAAGCUUUACCAAUUUGUACGCUUGGCUUUAAGUAAGUUUUGGGCAUUUAUUUGUCGAAUGCCAUUCUGACCUAUUUCUAAGGUUUCUAGAGCAAGCCACAUGUAUGUGCUCUCCUUGCUUUAUCUUCUCAUGGUCGCAUGGCUCUUUUUGCCGACAGACUACCAUUUCCGGACCUACUAAUGUCUGAUUUUCAAGACAUAAAACGGUGUUUCUAGAGGUUGUAUUUUCUCUUAAGGCUAUGAUGAGUCAAUACAUUUGAUUAUAAAGUUGAUGAUAUUGCCUUGGCAUGAUAGGGUUCAAGGAUGGCAGUUCAUUACUUGCAACCUUCCCUUCAACCAUGGUGGUAUUGUUGUUUUCUAGACUCUGAGCCUAUCAUAAGCAUAUUUGCCUCGACUAAAGUUUUCGUUUUAACUAUCCGAUGGUGCUUGGCUUUGUUUUGGUUUAAACUAAUAGAAUAAACAAGAAAGUAGCGGGGGUUGAGAAGCUUCCGUUGUUGUCUGUUGAGAUCAAACUCUCUCGAUCCAAUCGAACCUAUCGCCCCAAUCUAACAUGCGAAUGCACAACCUACACGUUACAGAUUUCAGCAACUUAAUUAACUCUUCUGUCAAUAGCCACUUCAGGGAAACUUCAUCACCAGAUUACUUUCUUCCAUUUCUGACCUUGGAAUCCAUAUAACCAUCAACAAUUCUAUAAAUCUGCAGGUUCGUGGAGGUUCAGUUGGAUUCAUUGAAUCGAUUUACGGUGUUUUGAAGCAUAUUCGAAUAGUGUGUACUGUUGCACAACAUAUAUGGGCUUUCAUAGAAAUCUGGUGCAAACUAAGCCGAUUUUAUAUUCUUGAGCUUAAAUAUUUGGUUGAUAUACAAAAUAAAUGCCACGGGUCAAGGAAAUGGAGACGCGCAAUAUUAUCGGUCAUGCAGACAACCCUAUGAAAUUAAAACGUAUGGCUUCCUAUGGGUUAAAAACAGGGCAAAAUGCAAUGCGUUGUCGUGGGAAGAUUGAUGUAAUUUCGAGUUACACUCUAUGGGGGUGUGAUGUAAUGUUUUUAUUUGGUAAACUAUGUAAUAUCUCCGGGUUAACAUUUUUGUUGACCGGUUAAUUUGAAUAAAAUAUUUUAUUGGCCGUUAAAAAAAUAUAUUUGUAGUAGUAAUGAA